AAGAUUUUAGGUUACUUAAACCAAUAGCCUUCAAAGCUGUAAAAAAAAGUUUUAUUCUUUUAAAUCUUA
RNAcentral lists this transfer RNA (69 nucleotides) under Neopetrolisthes maculatus (porcelain anemone crab). Its description in RNAcentral is "tRNA-Trp". It matches the Rfam family "tRNA". Rfam says of the family: Transfer RNA (tRNA) molecules are approximately 80 nucleotides in length. Their secondary structure includes four short double-helical elements and three loops (D, anti-codon, and T loops). The record is from RNAcentral. Lineage: Eukaryota; Metazoa; Arthropoda; Malacostraca; Decapoda; Porcellanidae.